AAACUCCCGACCCGAUAAACCAUAGCAAGGAGUCGGUAUCCAGCCUUGGACACAGAGCCGUGAGGUGAGUGUUAAGCGUAGGCAGGAAAGAUUUAGAGCCAUAAGGCGAAAGCUUGAAUCGAUUUAGCGUCGUAAGCACCAACAAAGCGGUGGGCGAUACCCUCAUAUUGGUCGCAGCCAGCAAGAACCGUUCGUUAAUGCGAGAACGGGGAGACACCGCCGGCGUUUGAAAGAA
RNAcentral lists this non-coding RNA (235 nucleotides) under Ruminococcus sp. YE71. Lineage: Bacteria; Bacillati; Bacillota; Clostridia; Eubacteriales; Oscillospiraceae. The record is from RNAcentral. RNAcentral also lists the same sequence under 1 other name.